GGGAUCGAUGAUGACCACUGGUGGCGUAUGAGUCAUGGAUGAUGAAUACGUGUCUGGAACGCUGAGGUCCCA
This 72-nucleotide small nucleolar RNA is filed under the name Choloepus hoffmanni (Hoffmann's two-fingered sloth). RNAcentral's name for it is "Small nucleolar RNA SNORD113/SNORD114 family (ENSCHOG00000014737.1)". It matches the Rfam family "Small nucleolar RNA SNORD113/SNORD114 family". Rfam says of the family: The imprinted human domain at 14q32 contains two clusters of tandemly repeated small nucleolar RNAs named 14q(I) and 14q(II) snoRNAs. Lineage: Eukaryota; Metazoa; Chordata; Mammalia; Pilosa; Megalonychidae. The record is from RNAcentral.